RNAcentral lists this ribosomal RNA (252 nucleotides) under uncultured bacterium. Its description in RNAcentral is "partial 16S ribosomal RNA". It matches the Rfam family "Bacterial small subunit ribosomal RNA", at positions 524 to 776 of the family's 1533-position model. The record is from RNAcentral.
UACGGAGGGUGCGAGCGUUGUCCGGAAUCACUGGGCGUAAAGGGCGCGUAGGCGGCUCAUGAAGGCUGUGGUGAAAGUCCGGGGCUCAACCUCGGAUCGGCCGUGGCGACUCGUGGGCUGGAGCACUGUAGAGGCGGGUGGAAUUCCGGGUGUAGCGGUGGAAUGCGUAGAGAUCCGGAAGAACACCAGUGGCGAAGGCGGCCCGCUGGGCAGUGGCUGACGCUGAAGCGCGACAGCGUGGGAGCAAACAGG